Molecule: long non-coding RNA, 237 nt
Organism: Zophobas morio
Lineage: Eukaryota; Metazoa; Arthropoda; Insecta; Coleoptera; Tenebrionidae
Exons: 3
Source: RefSeq, a predicted model, not a curated record
UGAUGACAAAAGGCAAAUUGUUCUUUAUGAUUCUGAAAACCGUCAGUUAUGUGUUAAAAGAAAUGAUAAGACUAAUUUAGAAUUAAUAAAGGCUCAUCACGAUAAAAAACAUCAAGUAAAAAGUUUUCAAGGCUGCAAACAUUGUCCUCUGUGUGGUUCCCUACUGAUUGAAGAAAAGCUAAAGCCCCUUGAAAUGAGCACGUCUAGUAUAUUAAACGAAUUUUCUAGUAAUGAAAC